Saccostrea echinata is the source of this 888-nucleotide long non-coding RNA. RefSeq lists it as uncharacterized. The transcript is spliced from 5 exons. NCBI's taxonomy places the organism in Eukaryota, Metazoa, Mollusca, Bivalvia, Ostreida, Ostreidae. The record is from RefSeq and is a predicted model, not a curated record.
ACAAACCCAUUUAAUUAUAUUUUGAAUCUUCACCAGGAGAAAAAAGAUGGCAGUACUUCUAAUGCAAGCAGCUACUAGGGAAGAUUUAAUGAAGGAAGAUGAGGAAGUGGAGGAAAAGCUGAAGAACAAGGAGGACAAGGUGAAGAAAGGACAAGGGCACAGUGACUUGCAGUGUGUGUCAUGUAACAUUAUUACAACAUCUAUAUCAUGGGUCCAUAAUUUUGAGUAAGUCAUUCAUCAACCACUUUAUCUGUACUGGAAACCAUUUCUGAGAGGGAUGAAGUGAUGGAAGAUAAUGAGCCAGAGGGUGGAACGGAAGAGAAAGGGAAAGAAAUAAAGAAAAAGGCAGAAUGAAAAAGGACUAGAACUUGCAAUAGAAGAAAAAGUUGAGGAAAUGAAGAGGAAGAAAUUGAAGAUGAAAAGAAGAGCUCUGGGAGGAAAAAAUUCCAUUUGUAAGAUGUGUGGACAAAAGAAAAACAGCCAUAGAGUGCCAAUGUGGAGUGGAAUAAGUCAGUAUGACUUAAACAUGGUCAAUUGAAGUGUUUGAAUGCCCCUCCAGAAAGCAGAACAAUCUUUGAAUUUGCAGGAAAGAGUAUAAAAUUUCCUGUUAAAAUAUCAUAACAGCUAGACAAAGAUUAAAUAACAACUACAUGUACAUCUAAAGAAUUCUUUUGUCAUAAUAGUGAUUCAUGUGCUAGUACAUGUGACAAGUGCUAUAACGACCUAAUAUAAGUGUGUUUUAGGAGCAUGUUGACUCUAUUGUAAAUGUAUUGACUCCUUAUAUGACCUCAUUUAUAUAUAACAUUAUAUGAAUGGUAGUGUAGUGACUUGAAAUGUGUGUUAGUAGUAUAGCUCGUUAUGUGUGGUAAUUUUGUUAUUUGUUUUACA